CUUGGUCAUUUAGAGGAAGUAAAAGUCGUAACAAGGUCUCCGUAGGUGAACCUGCGGAGGGAUCAUUACAAGAACGCCCGGGCUUCGGCCUGAUUAUUCAUAACCCUUUGUUGUCCGACUCUGUUGCCUCCGGGGCGACCCUGCCUUCGGGCGGGGGCUCCGGGUGGACACUUCAAACUCUUGCGUAACUUUGCAGUCUGAGUAAACUUAAUUAAUAAAUUAAAACUUUCAACAACGGAUCUCUUGGUUCUGGCAUCGAUGAAGAACGCAGCGAAAUGCGAUAAGUAAUGUGAAUUGCAGAAUUCAGUGAAUCAUCGAAUCUUUGAACGCACAUUGCGCCCCCUGGUAUUCCGGGGGGCAUGCCUGUUCGAGCGUCAUUUCACCACUCAAGCCUCGCUUGGUAUUGGGCAACGCGGUCCGCCGCGUGCCUCAAAUCGUCCGGCUGGGUCUUCUGUCCCCUAAGCGUUGUGGAAACUAUUCGCUAAAGGGUGUUCGGGAGGCUACGCCGUAAAACAACCCCAUUUCUAAGGUUGACCUCGGAUCAGGUAGGGAUACCCGCUGAACUUAAGCAUAUCAAUAAGCGGAGGAAAAGAAACCAACAGGGAUUGCUCUAGUAACGGCGAGUGAAGCAGCAAUAGCUCAAAUUUGAAAUCUGGCGUCUUCGACGUCCGAGUUGUAAUUUGUAGAGGAUGCUUCUGAGUGGCCACCGACCUAAGUUCCUUGGAACAGGACGUCAUAGAGGGUGAGAAUCCCGUAUGCGGUCGGAAAGGCGCUCUAUACGUAGCUCCUUCGACGAGUCGAGUUGUUUGGGAAU
Molecule: small RNA, 814 nt
Filed under: uncultured Davidiella
Lineage: Eukaryota; Fungi; Ascomycota; Dothideomycetes; Cladosporiales; Cladosporiaceae
Description: eukaryotic LSU rRNA
Rfam family: Eukaryotic large subunit ribosomal RNA (bases 532-814)
Source: RNAcentral